This 2775-nucleotide ribosomal RNA is filed under the name Escherichia coli. Its description in RNAcentral is "bacterial LSU rRNA". It matches the Rfam family "Bacterial large subunit ribosomal RNA". The record is from RNAcentral. Lineage: Bacteria; Pseudomonadati; Pseudomonadota; Gammaproteobacteria; Enterobacterales; Enterobacteriaceae.
CACACUAUCAUUAACUGAAUCCAUAGGUUAAUGAGGCGAACCGGGGGAACUGAAACAUCUAAGUACCCCGAGGAAAAGAAAUCAACCGAGAUUCCCCCAGUAGCGGCGAGCGAACGGGGAGCAGCCCAGAGCCUGAAUCAGUGUGUGUGUUAGUGGAAGCGUCUGGAAAGGCGCGCGAUACAGGGUGACAGCCCCGUACACAAAAAUGCACAUGCUGUGAGCUCGAUGAGUAGGGCGGGACACGUGGUAUCCUGUCUGAAUAUGGGGGGACCAUCCUCCAAGGCUAAAUACUCCUGACUGACCGAUAGUGAACCAGUACCGUGAGGGAAAGGCGAAAAGAACCCCGGCGAGGGGAGUGAAAAAGAACCUGAAACCGUGUACGUACAAGCAGUGGGAGCCUCUUUAUGGGGUGACUGCGUACCUUUUGUAUAAUGGGUCAGCGACUUAUAUUCUGUAGCAAGGUUAACCGAAUAGGGGAGCCGAAGGGAAACCGAGUCUUAACUGGGCGUUAAGUUGCAGGGUAUAGACCCGAAACCCGGUGAUCUAGCCAUGGGCAGGUUGAAGGUUGGGUAACACUAACUGGAGGACCGAACCGACUAAUGUUGAAAAAUUAGCGGAUGACUUGUGGCUGGGGGUGAAAGGCCAAUCAAACCGGGAGAUAGCUGGUUCUCCCCGAAAGCUAUUUAGGUAGCGCCUCGUGAAUUCAUCUCCGGGGGUAGAGCACUGUUUCGGCAAGGGGGUCAUCCCGACUUACCAACCCGAUGCAAACUGCGAAUACCGGAGAAUGUUAUCACGGGAGACACACGGCGGGUGCUAACGUCCGUCGUGAAGAGGGAAACAACCCAGACCGCCAGCUAAGGUCCCAAAGUCAUGGUUAAGUGGGAAACGAUGUGGGAAGGCCCAGACAGCCAGGAUGUUGGCUUAGAAGCAGCCAUCAUUUAAAGAAAGCGUAAUAGCUCACUGGUCGAGUCGGCCUGCGCGGAAGAUGUAACGGGGCUAAACCAUGCACCGAAGCUGCGGCAGCGACGCUUAUGCGUUGUUGGGUAGGGGAGCGUUCUGUAAGCCUGUGAAGGUGUGCUGUGAGGCAUGCUGGAGGUAUCAGAAGUGCGAAUGCUGACAUAAGUAACGAUAAAGCGGGUGAAAAGCCCGCUCGCCGGAAGACCAAGGGUUCCUGUCCAACGUUAAUCGGGGCAGGGUGAGUCGACCCCUAAGGCGAGGCCGAAAGGCGUAGUCGAUGGGAAACAGGUUAAUAUUCCUGUACUUGGUGUUACUGCGAAGGGGGGACGGAGAAGGCUAUGUUGGCCGGGCGACGGUUGUCCCGGUUUAAGCGUGUAGGCUGGUUUUCCAGGCAAAUCCGGAAAAUCAAGGCUGAGGCGUGAUGACGAGGCACUACGGUGCUGAAGCAACAAAUGCCCUGCUUCCAGGAAAAGCCUCUAAGCAUCAGGUAACAUCAAAUCGUACCCCAAACCGACACAGGUGGUCAGGUAGAGAAUACCAAGGCGCUUGAGAGAACUCGGGUGAAGGAACUAGGCAAAAUGGUGCCGUAACUUCGGGAGAAGGCACGCUGAUAUGUAGGUGAGGUCCCUCGCGGAUGGAGCUGAAAUCAGUCGAAGAUACCAGCUGGCUGCAACUGUUUAUUAAAAACACAGCACUGUGCAAACACGAAAGUGGACGUAUACGGUGUGACGCCUGCCCGGUGCCGGAAGGUUAAUUGAUGGGGUUAGCGGUAACGCGAAGCUCUUGAUCGAAGCCCCGGUAAACGGCGGCCGUAACUAUAACGGUCCUAAGGUAGCGAAAUUCCUUGUCGGGUAAGUUCCGACCUGCACGAAUGGCGUAAUGAUGGCCAGGCUGUCUCCACCCGAGACUCAGUGAAAUUGAACUCGCUGUGAAGAUGCAGUGUACCCGCGGCAAGACGGAAAGACCCCGUGAACCUUUACUAUAGCUUGACACUGAACAUUGAGCCUUGAUGUGUAGGAUAGGUGGGAGGCUUUGAAGUGUGGACGCCAGUCUGCAUGGAGCCGACCUUGAAAUACCACCCUUUAAUGUUUGAUGUUCUAACGUUGACCCGUAAUCCGGGUUGCGGACAGUGUCUGGUGGGUAGUUUGACUGGGGCGGUCUCCUCCUAAAGAGUAACGGAGGAGCACGAAGGUUGGCUAAUCCUGGUCGGACAUCAGGAGGUUAGUGCAAUGGCAUAAGCCAGCUUGACUGCGAGCGUGACGGCGCGAGCAGGUGCGAAAGCAGGUCAUAGUGAUCCGGUGGUUCUGAAUGGAAGGGCCAUCGCUCAACGGAUAAAAGGUACUCCGGGGAUAACAGGCUGAUACCGCCCAAGAGUUCAUAUCGACGGCGGUGUUUGGCACCUCGAUGUCGGCUCAUCACAUCCUGGGGCUGAAGUAGGUCCCAAGGGUAUGGCUGUUCGCCAUUUAAAGUGGUACGCGAGCUGGGUUUAGAACGUCGUGAGACAGUUCGGUCCCUAUCUGCCGUGGGCGCUGGAGAACUGAGGGGGGCUGCUCCUAGUACGAGAGGACCGGAGUGGACGCAUCACUGGUGUUCGGGUUGUCAUGCCAAUGGCACUGCCCGGUAGCUAAAUGCGGAAGAGAUAAGUGCUGAAAGCAUCUAAGCACGAAACUUGCCCCGAGAUGAGUUCUCCCUGACUCCUUGAGAGUCCUGAAGGAACGUUGAAGACGACGACGUUGAUAGGCCGGGUGUGUAAGCGCAGCGAUGCGUUGAGCUAACCGGUACUAAUGAACCGUGAGGCUUAACCUUACAACGCCGAAG